Molecule: ribosomal RNA, 463 nt
Filed under: uncultured bacterium
Lineage: Bacteria
Description: partial 16S ribosomal RNA
Rfam family: Bacterial small subunit ribosomal RNA
Source: RNAcentral
GACGAACGCUGGCGGCGUGCUUAACACAUGCAAGUCGAACGGAAAGGCCUUUUCGGAGGUACUCGAGUGGCGAACGGGUGAGUAACACGUGGGUGAUCUGCCCUGCACUCUGGGAUAAGCCUGGGAAACUGGGUCUAAUACCGGAUAGGACCGCACUUUAGUGUGUGUGGUGGAAAGUUUUUUCGGUGUAGGUUGAGCCCGCGGCCUAUCAGCUUGUUGGUGGGGUAAUGGCUUACCAAGGCGGCGACGGGUAGCCGGACUGAGCGGUUGGUCGGCCACAUUGGGACUGAGAGACGGCCCAGACUCCUACGGGAGGCAGCAGUGGGGAAUAUUGCACAAUGGGCGCAAGCCUGAUGCAGCGACGCCGCGUGGGGGAUGACGGCCUUCGGGUUGUAAACUCCUUUCGCCAGGGACGAAGCGUUUUGUGACGGUACCUGGAGAAGAAGCACCGGCUAACUACGUG